GAUGAACGCUGGCGGCGUGCCUAAUACAUGCCAGUCGAGCGAACAGAUGAGGAGCUUGCUCCUCUGACGUUAGCGGCGGACGGGUGAGUAACACGUGGAUAACCUACCUAUAAGACUGGGAUAACUUCGGGAAACCGGAGCUAAUACCGGAUAAUAUAUUGAACCGCAUGGUUCAAUAGUGAAAGACGGUUUUGCUGUCACUUAUAGAUGGAUCCGCGCCGCAUUAGCUAGUUGGUAAGGUAACGGCUUACCAAGGCAACGAUGCGUAGCCGACCUGAGAGGGUGAUCGGCCACAUUGGAACUGAGACACGGUCCAGACUCCUACGGGAGGCAGCAGUAGGGAACCUUCCGCAAUGGGCGAAAGCCUGACGGAGCAACGCCGCGUGAGUGAUGAAGGUCUUCGGAUCGUAAAACUCUGUUAUUAGGGAAGAACAAAUGUGUAAGUAACUAUGCACGUCUUGACGGUACCUAAUCAGAAAGCCACGGCUAACUACGUG
Molecule: ribosomal RNA, 497 nt
Filed under: uncultured bacterium
Lineage: Bacteria
Description: partial 16S ribosomal RNA
Rfam family: Bacterial small subunit ribosomal RNA
Source: RNAcentral